AGGGGCGUCGUUCAAUGGUAGGACACCGGUCUCCAAAACCGGUAACGUGGGUUCGAUUCCCCCCGCCCCUGCCA
RNAcentral lists this transfer RNA (74 nucleotides) under Candidatus Uhrbacteria bacterium. RNAcentral describes it as "tRNA-Trp". It matches the Rfam family "tRNA". From Rfam's summary of the family: Transfer RNA (tRNA) molecules are approximately 80 nucleotides in length. Their secondary structure includes four short double-helical elements and three loops (D, anti-codon, and T loops). Lineage: Bacteria; Candidatus Uhriibacteriota. The record is from RNAcentral.